AGGACGAACGCUGGCGGCGUGCUUAACACAUGCAAGUCGAGCGGUAAGGCCUUUCGGGGUACACGAGCGGCGAACGGGUGAGUAACACGUGGGUGAUCUGCCCUGCACUUCGGGAUAAGCCUGGGAAACUGGGUCUAAUACCGGAUAUGACCUCCUAUCGCAUGGUGGGUGGUGGAAAGAUUUAUCGGUGCAGGAUGGGCCCGCGGCCUAUCAGCUUGGUUGGUGGGGUAAUGGCCUACCAAGGCGACGACGGGUAGCCGACCUGAGAGGGUGACCGGCCACACUGGGACUGAGACACGGCCCAGACUCCUACGGGUGGCAGCAGUGGGGAAUAUUGCACAAUGGGCGAAAGCCUGAUGCAGCGACGCCGCGUGGAGGAUGACGGCUUCGGGUUGUAAACCUCUUUCGAGUCGAGGACGAAGCGACAAGUGACGGUACUGCAGAAGAAGCACCGGCUAACUACGUCGCCAGCACGCCGACGGUAACUCGUAGACGGACGGCGUACGGACGAACGGCCG
This 518-nucleotide ribosomal RNA is filed under the name uncultured soil bacterium. RNAcentral's name for it is "bacterial SSU rRNA". It matches the Rfam family "Bacterial small subunit ribosomal RNA", at positions 33 to 541 of the family's 1533-position model. The record is from RNAcentral.